UUCUUAUUGGAUAAUAAUUUGUGUCAUGUUCUAAUUGACCAAUGACAACAAUAAUACAUUUCCAUGGAAUUGACAUUCAAUUAGAACAUGACACGUGGUAGUCAUCAUCC
Non-coding RNA from Glycine soja, 110 nucleotides. NCBI's taxonomy places the organism in Eukaryota, Viridiplantae, Streptophyta, Magnoliopsida, Fabales, Fabaceae. The record is from Rfam.